RNAcentral lists this transfer RNA (74 nucleotides) under Acetobacterium woodii. RNAcentral describes it as "tRNA-Gly". It matches the Rfam family "tRNA". From Rfam's summary of the family: Transfer RNA (tRNA) molecules are approximately 80 nucleotides in length. Their secondary structure includes four short double-helical elements and three loops (D, anti-codon, and T loops). RNAcentral also lists the same sequence under 28 other names. Lineage: Bacteria; Bacillati; Bacillota; Clostridia; Eubacteriales; Eubacteriaceae. The record is from RNAcentral.
GCGGGUGUAGCUCAGUGGUAGAGCCCUGGCCUUCCAAGCCAGUCGCGAGGGUUCGAUUCCCUUCACCCGCUCCA